This 253-nucleotide ribosomal RNA is filed under the name uncultured bacterium. RNAcentral's name for it is "partial 16S ribosomal RNA". It matches the Rfam family "Archaeal small subunit ribosomal RNA", at positions 474 to 727 of the family's 1478-position model. The record is from RNAcentral.
UACCAGCACCCCGAGUGGUCGGGACGAUUAUUGGGCCUAAAGCAUCCGUAGCCGGUUCUACAAGCCUUCCGUUAAAUCCACCUGCUUAACAGAUGGGCUGCGGAAGAUACUAUAGAGCUAGGAGGCGGGAGAGGCAAGCGGUACUCGAUGGGUAGGGGUAAAAUCCGUUGAUCCAUUGAAGACCACCAGUGGCGAAGGCGGCUUGCCAGAACGCGCUCGACGGUGAGGGAUGAAAGCUGGGGGAGCAAACCGG